Molecule: ribosomal RNA, 259 nt
Filed under: uncultured soil bacterium
Lineage: Bacteria
Description: partial 16S ribosomal RNA
Rfam family: Bacterial small subunit ribosomal RNA
Source: RNAcentral
AGGACGAACGCUGGCGGCGUGCUUAACACAUGCAAGUCGGACGGUGAAGCUCCAGCUUGCUGGAGUGGAUCAGUGGCGAACGGGUGAGUAACACGUGGAGCAACCUGCCCCAAACUCUGGAAUAAGCACUGGAAACGGUGUCUAAUACUGGAUACGAGACCAACCUGCAUGGUAUGGUUGAAGUUUUUCGGUUUGGGAUGGGCUCGCGGCCUAUCAGCUUGUUGGUGAGGUAAUGGCUCACCAAGGCGACGACGGGUAG